AUUAUAAAAAUUGUAUAAUUAAGAAGUCAGAGUAGUAUUAGUUAAGGUCUUGAAACUCAAAAAAUUUGGCGGUAUUUUAGUCUAUUUAGAGGAACCUGUAGUAUAAUCGAUAAUCCACGAUGGACCUCACUUAAUUUUGUUUUUCAGUUUGUAUACCGCUGUUAUUUGAAGAUUUUAUAAGAAUAUUAAUUUUCAGAAUUUUUAAUUAAAAAAUAUAUCAGGUCAAGGUGCAGCUUAUGRUUAAGAAUUUAUGGGUUACAAUAAAAUUAUUUAUACGAAUAAAAAUAUGAAAUUAUUUUUUGAAGGUGGAUUUAAUAGUAAAUUUUUAAAGAUAAAAGAAUUGAUUUUAGCUCUAAAAUAUGCACACAUCGCCCGUCGCUCUUGUUAUUAAUAUAAGAUAAGUCGUAACAUAGUAGAUGUACUGGAAAGUGUAUCUAGAAUGACAAUUUAAAGCUUUUUUAGCAAAGCAUUUCACUUACACUGAAAAGAUUAUUGUGCAAAUCAAUAUAAAUUGAUAAUAUAUAAUUACUAAUAUUUUUUUUUAUAUUUUUGUUAUUAAAAAUAAUUAUUUUAUUUUGUUUUAGUAUUUUAUAUAAAACUAAUAAUUUUAGUGAUAGUUUAUUAUGUAUUGUGAAAGAAUUUUGAAAUAAUUGAAAAAUAUAUAAUUAAAAAGAAAAAUUAAUUUU
RNAcentral lists this ribosomal RNA (686 nucleotides) under Dolichopus bigeniculatus. RNAcentral's name for it is "partial 12S ribosomal RNA". The record is from RNAcentral. Lineage: Eukaryota; Metazoa; Arthropoda; Insecta; Diptera; Dolichopodidae.